Molecule: long non-coding RNA, 980 nt
Filed under: Rattus norvegicus (Norway rat)
Lineage: Eukaryota; Metazoa; Chordata; Mammalia; Rodentia; Muridae
Description: long non-coding RNA NONRATT032194
Source: RNAcentral
GAAAAGGAUCUUCCAAGAAAUGUUCUUACUCAGCCAAAAGCACAGUGGAAGGCCUAGUGUAGGACAGCAGGUAUGUCUUCAAAACUGGGUAUUUUGUUUUAUUUUAUGAAUAAAUCCAGUACUCGUGCUGAGUCAGCUUAUACAGAAAGUCAAAGAUGCUGAAAAACUAAUACUUCACAUAUUCAAGGAUCCUCUUCGUUAAGGAGAUAAAAGUUUUCUUUUGAAGGAAAAAAGCCAUACACAUUAACACAUUAGAAUUUUGAAACUGCCACAACCAUAGAACUUAAUUUGUUAUAAAAUGAAGAAGUAAUGUUUUGUUAAUAAACCUGGCCUACUGCAUUUGCUUCUCUGUGGUUUAAGCUCUUGUCCUUGAGAAUAGGUAUUAUACACAGCACUAAAUAUGUUUGUUUCAUUUUCAGUCCUAUCUAUUCCUGUCAAAUACAUGUCAUAUUUAUUCAUCCGUAUUUUUUAUUAGAAUUUGCAAACAGGGCAUUUUAAAGAUAAAUGAAAAUAAAAUGGAAACCACUUCCCUGCGGCGGAAAUUUCCAGAAUGGAUGUCAACGCAGAAUAAAAGCUGUGCCACACAAGAAAAGGCAAGCAUUCAGAAGAGUGUUCUUGAAGAUGACCUCCCAUUCUUAGAAUUUACUGGAUCUGUUGUUUACAGUUAUGAGGCCAGCGAUUGCUCUUUCCUGUCUGAAGACAUUAGGUAAGGGAUUGGAAGUUCUUGCUGUCAAAUUUAUACCCUUAAGAGAUAGUGAGUGAUAUUUCUGAGUUCCUCGCUUUACAAUGGAAGUGUAUUUCAGAAGCUUUUUACAUGUAUCAUGUCACUAAGUUGCAUUUUACUUUUAAAAAUACAAAAUAAACUCACUAAAUUAAAUUAGUAAGGUACCUAAUUAGUUAAUCAGUAACCUUUUCUACUUCAUUAGAUAAGUUUUUAUUUUGGUGCUUAAGAUAUAAAAUACAAUAUAAAACUAUUGAAG